AGGUUGAUCCUGGCUCAGGAUCAACGCUAGCUAUAUGCUUAACACAUGCCAGUCGAGGGGUAACAUGAUCAAAGCUUGCUUUGAUUGAUGACCACCGGCGGAUGGGUGAGUAACACCUAUCCAACCUACCGUAUACACGGGGAUACCCUUUCAAAAGAAAGAUUAACACCCGAUGUUGUAAUGAGAUCUCCUGAUUUUAUUACUAAAGAUUUAUCGGUAAUGGAUGGGGAUGCCUCUGAUUAGCUUGUUGGCGGGGUAACCCCCCACCAACGCAACAAUCAGUGGGGGUUCUGAGAGGAAGGUCCCCCACAUUGGAACUGACACACGGUCCAAACUCCUACGGGAGGCAGCAGUGAGGAAUAUUGGUCAAUGGGCGGAAGCCUGAACCAGCCAAGUAGCGUGCAGGAUGACGGCCCUAUGGGUUGUAAACUGCUUUUAUGCGGGGAUAAAGUUGGGGACGCGUCCCUUUUUGCAGGUACCGCAUGAAUAACGACCGGCUAAUUCCGUGCCACCACCCGCGGUAAUACGGAAGGUCCGGGCGUUAUCCGGAUUUAUUGGGUUUAAAGGGACCGUAGGCCGGCUUUUAAGCGUGUAGUGAAAUGCCCGCGGCUUCAACCGUGGCCCUGCAGCGCGAACUGGAGGCCCUUUGAGUGCCCGGGAGGAAGGCGAAAUUCGUGGUGUAGCGGUGAAAUGCUUAAAUAUCACAAAAAACUCCUAAUGCAAAGGCACCUAACCCUAACCUUUCCUGACCCCGAAACUCAAAAGUGCCGG
This 771-nucleotide ribosomal RNA is filed under the name uncultured bacterium. Its description in RNAcentral is "bacterial SSU rRNA". It matches the Rfam family "Bacterial small subunit ribosomal RNA", at positions 10 to 765 of the family's 1533-position model. The record is from RNAcentral.